Long non-coding RNA from Salvia miltiorrhiza (redroot sage), 490 nucleotides. RefSeq lists it as uncharacterized. Lineage: Eukaryota; Viridiplantae; Streptophyta; Magnoliopsida; Lamiales; Lamiaceae. The transcript is spliced from 2 exons. The record is from RefSeq and is a predicted model, not a curated record.
CCUUAUCUUCUUCCCCCUUUUAAAUUAAAACUGAAAACUCCUCUCUCUCUCUUCCGAUUUGGCUGAAUCGGAGCAACGGCGACGUCACGGCUAUCACGUUACCGCCGCCGCCGCCGACGACGAGCCACCAUGGCUCCGCCGCCGACCGCCGUCUGAAAACAGAACGGAGACCACCCUGUGGCUCCGCCGCCGGCAGCCGCAGCGGCUGCCGCCCCCUGAUUCCAUCACUCACGUAUGCAGAACACGGCUCAGCCCCAAAUUCAGUCAUAGCAUAGAUGAUUUGAGCAAAAUUCAUACAUAGUCAGGAAGUAAUUAUCUCUAUAUGUCCAUGUAAAAAGUCAAGAUCUUUAAUUGUUCUUCAAUUAAUCACACUGCAUAUAAACACCUCACUUGUAAAUUCAGCCUUUCGAACAUCAAUGUUUAAAACGAGUUUAUACACAAGUUGUAUGCACAUAAAGAGGAAUAUGAGCAGUUGUAUGCGUUGGUGGUU